Non-coding RNA from Salmo salar (Atlantic salmon), 58 nucleotides. Lineage: Eukaryota; Metazoa; Chordata; Actinopteri; Salmoniformes; Salmonidae. The record is from Rfam.
UGGCUUAGUUGGUAGAGCAUUGUGUUUGGAACGCCAGGGUUGUGGGUUUGAUUCCCAC